Long non-coding RNA from Myxocyprinus asiaticus (Chinese sucker), 495 nucleotides. RefSeq lists it as uncharacterized. The record is from RefSeq and is a predicted model, not a curated record. The transcript has 4 exons. NCBI's taxonomy places the organism in Eukaryota, Metazoa, Chordata, Actinopteri, Cypriniformes, Catostomidae.
GUUUUUCUGAGUGGAGGUUGGCUUGACCGCAGUUUCUCAACUGGUGCGAUAAUAAUGAACACUGGCCCUGAGAUACAGACAAUUACAGGGGAUUUCUUUGUUGUUUUGAGUGAUGCACAUUCACUGCUAUAGUAAAGGUCUAAUGAACAUUGUCCCUCAUAAAUCUAACAUGGCCUACACGGAAAUAUCUGUCACUAUCACAUACGUAUUAAUCAAGGGAAGAAAGUCAUUCAAGUUUUGAACAACAUAACGGACAGUGACUAGAGAAGGAACCAUCUUUGAUGCUCAUCAAGGCAAAGGACCUGACCACAUGGAUUUGUGUAAAAUGCUGAGUGCCACUGAGGACACCAGACAGAAAAUUGAACUAAAUUACUGCAAGAAAGAUGCAUGGCACCACAAGAACUGAUGACUCAGAUACAGAUAGAGACUUUGUUAUCUUUUGAUUAGAUGUAACAAAUCAAUCAUAUAUUUAUCAAUCAUUAAAAAUGAUCUUAA